CCUACGGGAGGCAGCAGUGGGGAAUUUUGGACAAUGGGGGAAACCCUGAUCCAGCCAUUCCGCGUGAGUGAAGAAGGCCUUCGGGUUGUAAACUCCUUUUGCAGGGGACAAUGAUGAUGGUACCCUGCGAAUAAGCCACGGCUAACUCUGUGCCAGCAGCCGCGGUAAGACAGAGGUGGCAAGCGUUGUUCGGAUUUACUGGGCGUAAAGAGCGCGUAGGCGGUUUGAUAAGUCAUGGGUGAAAGCCCUCAGCUCAAGUGAGGUUACGCCCAUGAAACUGUCGGACUGGAGUUUAGGAGAGGAGAGCGGAAUUCCGAGUGUAGGGGUGAAAUGCGUAGAUAUUGGGAGGAACACCGGUGGCGAAGGCGGCUCUCGGGACUAAUACUGACGCUGAGGCGCGAAAGCUAGGGGAGCAAACGGGAUUAGAUAC
Molecule: ribosomal RNA, 430 nt
Filed under: uncultured bacterium
Lineage: Bacteria
Description: partial 16S ribosomal RNA
Rfam family: Bacterial small subunit ribosomal RNA
Source: RNAcentral